UUGUCCGAGCUCCCGAUUUGAUAACAUUUUGCGCCAUCGUGCGAACACGGGUAACGAGCAGCAACUUCACCUCGUUUCAGAGUCGCAGCGAUUUCAAAAUCUUAUUCUCAUCCGGCGGAAGCCAGUUGCUGAUAAUCCAAUUUUACCGACGGAGUUACUUCCAUGGUAAUGCAGCUCGCUCGGCAAGGCGCGAAUUCAGGGAAUAUUGACGGUUAGUGUUCAUGAAUUUCUGCAGGUGUCCGGUGCGCGAAUAAUGGACCUCGAUUUUUCAGUAUAAAUUCAGUCUAGAUUGUCAACACGCAGCGAUUACAAGAAUCAUAUCUUGAUGGCCAAAAUAAGCUAAUGCAGACUGUUGAGAUCGGAAGAACAUUUAAGAUGACGAUCGAUGAUCGUAGAUUUUACUGACCAUUUCGAUCAAAGUUGCACAACAUCGAACCCGAAGUACAAAUUCUAUUUGGCCUAGAAAGUGGAUGGAUCCGAAAUCCGAAUCCGAUCUGGCAUCGUAAUAUUUCGGUGUAAGGUUGACACUGUCUCUGGGAAGCGAACUUACCGAUAUAUUCACGACCGGAUUCACCGAAGAUCAAGCCUCUCAAUCCUCCGAUGAACUCAAAUUUUCAGAUCGAAAAAUAUGUUCUUUCUCACUGUAAUGUGAAAAUCAAUUCUAUUCUAAGUGAUGGAGAAUUGAAUUAUUUCAUCACCCACAGAGCCAUUCGUUUUGAUGAAAAAAAAAAAUGUUGUAAUCGAAGGCAAGAUUCUCGAAGAAUUUUCCGCGGGUAUCACAAUUCUCCCUGCUAAUGCGAAAGAAGUGAUGAAAACUUGCGAAGAAAAAUCAGCUACAUUUGGAUAAAAUGUUAUUUUUCAAUAUUUGCAAAUGUGUGCGUAACUUUGAGAAUAUUUGUUGGAUCGACAUGAAAUUUUCUGUGUAUAUAGGUACUUGAAUAUAUAUUAUUAGGAUUUAUUGACAUUUAUGUUAAUUAAUUAACGAGUAAGCAUUACGCAUAUUUUACAAGGUACGAUGAACAUAGCACAUUCUUUUCUUUAUCGAUGUAUAAAACACGAGCCGUAUUAAAGUUUAAAAUUCAUUCGUUCAUCCGGUUCAUCAUUCAUUCAUUCCAUGUGUUAAUUCUUGAAAAUGAUAUAUAUUGUUAAAAUUGUAAAUAAUUGUCUUUUCAUCGAUGCACUUGACUCUUGGAUUUCACUGAGUUUAUUUUGUUUCUUUUAAAUCGUUUCUCUUCAAUUUUUACGUGGUUUUUGUAGUUUUUGCUUUUUAGUUUCGAAAUGUCUAUCUCGAUGGUAACUUUGCUUUAACAACACAUUAGUCGAUCUUCGAUAUCCGAUGUGCGAUUACCGAGACGGGAACCUCCGUACCUCGUUCCUCCAAGAGAGUCGUUGUUCAAGAGAGCCGUUUCUUCUGAAUAUAGUCGAAAUUGAUGAAGAAACACACCACGUGUCCCCACUCCAUGGAUCAGAUUCUGAUCACCUCUCGUUGUGUCUAUUUGGCGGGUAUAUUCGAAUUAUUAAAAUAUGUACAUUGCGAAAAUCAAAUUAAAAAAAAAAAUCGAUUUUUGAGAAAUCCUAAUUGCGUAUAAGCCCUUCGAACGAAAAUCACAAAGUUAUAAGAGAAAUAAAAACCGUCGUUUUUCGUUGGUCACAGUAUGUCAAUCGCGAAAUGAGGUUCUACGUAAUUAUUAUUAGAAGUUAGGAAAGAUUAUUGGGAAUUGAUGAUACUGCAAAUCCAAAUUUAACGGAAUCUGGUUUAGAUUUAAUAUAUUUUCAAUAAUUUCUUACCCACUGCAGUAUUUAAAAUUCAUCCGUCAUUCGUCAAGUCAACUUUCGCUGAAACAUUUAUAACUAUUUUACACAAAUAUGUAACUGUAGAAUAAAUUUUUUUCCGAUCAACUUUUAAAAUAAACAAAAUGCCUAGAAGUGUUACUUAUACAUGUAUUAUGUAUUACGCGAUAUAACGGUAAGACAAAAAUUCAUUGUCUCAACUGAAUCGUUCAUUAUGU
This 2009-nucleotide long non-coding RNA is filed under the name Neodiprion pinetum (white pine sawfly). RNAcentral describes it as "uncharacterized LOC124215365". Lineage: Eukaryota; Metazoa; Arthropoda; Insecta; Hymenoptera; Diprionidae. The record is from RNAcentral.